AAGAACAUUUAAGUACUUUUAUCUCACUACGUGCUGGACUGCAGCAAAAAUACUAUUUACUAAAAGGGAUCAUACCCCUGGAUGAGGUUUUGGAGUCAUGUGACCUCUUCUCAGCGAGAGCACCAGAGCAGGAAGAUAUUUGGAUAUUUGUAAGCAGAUCUCGCCCCCAUUGACUACCAUUGGAACAACUUGAGGGCCCAACUUGGAGUACCUGCUGGAUGCGGCUCUGUUCUGGCCACGGGUCUGUCCCUUGUGCUUCCUCUCCAAUGGACACCUGCCAUUCAGAUAAUCAGUCCUCUUGCUCACAUGAGGCAAGUGACCAAGGCUCUCCUCUAGCGCCCUCUUGAGGCGAGACACCUCAUACUGCAGUGCGAGGAUAACCUCACUACUGUGAAGAGCACAAUGGAAAUAUGAUGGUUUCACAAACUGCAGAAUGGCUCUUUCCCAGCUGAACGUCUUCUCUUCCUUCAGUCACCUGGUUAUGCAUGGGAGUGGCGCCACCUGCUAAUGUGACAUUCUCUUUUGGAGCUCUAACAGAGUUCCCAGCAGACACUUCUACAGAAGAGAAGGAGGCUUCACUGGGUCUGAAUUUCUCUUCGCACCUGAGAGAGGAAUGACGAUCACAUCAGCCAUCAAAAUCAAGCAGUGAUCUUCAAGAGAAGAAUUAAACAAGGGACUGGAUAUAUUGCGACCCCUGUAAUUCUGCAUUUCCAGUGCACGAUGCUCCUCCCUCUUUGUGAGGUAAUUUCUCUCCAGCUGAUCCUGGGCCUCCAUCAUGCUCUUCAGCACCUGUUGAGAUAUCCACCAAAUAAGAUGAAAAUUUGGGGGCUAUAAACCUACAACUGCUUGAUUUGAAUUUUGAUCUUCUGAUUAAACAGUGCAUUAUGAAAA
This is a long non-coding RNA of Megalobrama amblycephala (Wuchang bream), 891 nucleotides long. RefSeq lists it as uncharacterized. NCBI's taxonomy places the organism in Eukaryota, Metazoa, Chordata, Actinopteri, Cypriniformes, Xenocyprididae. The transcript is spliced from 7 exons. The record is from RefSeq and is a predicted model, not a curated record.